ACGGGGGGUGCAAGCGUUGUUCGGAAUCAUUGGGCGUAAAGGGCGUGUAGGCGGCUUGGUAAGUCAGAUGUGAAAGCCCUGGGCUUAACCCAGGAAGUGCAUUUGAAACUGUCAGGCUUGAGUAGGGGAGAGGAAGGUGGAAUUCCUGGUGUAGAGGUGAAAUUCGUAGAUAUCAGGAGGAACACCGGUGGCGAAGGCGACCUUCUGGCCCUAUACUGACGCUGAGACGCGAAAGCGUGGGUAGCAAACAG
Molecule: ribosomal RNA, 251 nt
Filed under: uncultured prokaryote
Description: partial 16S rRNA
Rfam family: Bacterial small subunit ribosomal RNA
Source: RNAcentral